Molecule: ribosomal RNA, 1065 nt
Filed under: Bacillus amyloliquefaciens
Lineage: Bacteria; Bacillati; Bacillota; Bacilli; Caryophanales; Bacillaceae
Description: bacterial SSU rRNA
Rfam family: Bacterial small subunit ribosomal RNA
Source: RNAcentral
GGAAAUAAGGAAGCCGUUAAAAUGCAAGUCGAGCGGACAGAUGGGAGCUUGCUCCCUGAUGUUAGCGGCGGACGGGUGAGUAACACGUGGGUAACCUGCCUGUAAGACUGGGAUAACUCCGGGAAACCGGGGCUAAUACCGGAUGGUUGUUUGAACCGCAUGGUUCAGACAUAAAAGGUGGCUUCGGCUACCACUUACAGAUGGACCCGCGGCGCAUUAGCUAGUUGGUGAGGUAACGGCUCACCAAGGCGACGAUGCGUAGCCGACCUGAGAGGGUGAUCGGCCACACUGGGACUGAGACACGGCCCAGACUCCUACGGGAGGCAGCAGUAGGGAAUCUUCCGCAAUGGACGAAAGUCUGACGGAGCAACGCCGCGUGAGUGAUGAAGGUUUUCGGAUCGUAAAGCUCUGUUGUUAGGGAAGAACAAGUGCCGUUCAAAUAGGGCGGCACCUUGACGGUACCUAACCAGAAAGCCACGGCUAACUACGUGCCAGCAGCCGCGGUAAUACGUAGGUGGCAAGCGUUGUCCGGAAUUAUUGGGCGUAAAGGGCUCGCAGGCGGUUUCUUAAGUCUGAUGUGAAAGCCCCCGGCUCAACCGGGGAGGGUCAUUGGAAACUGGGGAACUUGAGUGCAGAAGAGGAGAGUGGAAUUCCACGUGUAGCGGUGAAAUGCGUAGAGAUGUGGAGGAACACCAGUGGCGAAGGCGACUCUCUGGUCUGUAACUGACGCUGAGGAGCGAAAGCGUGGGGAGCGAACAGGAUUAGAUACCCUGGUAGUCCACGCCGUAAACGAUGAGUGCUAAGUGUUAGGGGGUUUCCGCCCCUUAGUGCUGCAGCUAACGCAUUAAGCACUCCGCCUGGGGAGUACGGUCGCAAGACUGAAACUCAAAGGAAUUGACGGGGGCCCGCACAAGCGGUGGAGCAUGUGGUUUAAUUCGAAGCACGCGAAGAACCUUACCAGGUCUUGACAUCCUCUGACAAUCCUAGAGAUAGGACGUCCCCUUCCGGGGCCAAGUGACAGGGGGGGCCUGGGUGUUCUCGCCCGUGUCUGGGAUGUUUGGGUUA